GAUGAACGCUGGCGGCGUGCUUAACACAUGCAAGUCGAACGGAAAGGCUCCUGCUUGCAGGGGUACUCGAGUGGCGAACGGGUGAGUAACACGUGGGUGAUCUGCCCAGCACUUCGGGAUAAGCCUGGGAAACUGGGUCUAAUACCGGAUAGGACGAUGGUUUGGAUGCCAUUGUGGAAAGUUUUUUCGGUGUGGGAUGAGCUCACGGCCUAUCAGCUUGUUGGUGGGGUAAUGGCCUACCAAGGCGUCGACGGGUAGCCGGCCUGAGAGGGUGUACGGCCACAUUGGGACUGAGAUACGGCCCAGACUCCUACGGGAGGCAGCAGUGGGGAAUAUUGCACAAUGGGCGCAAGCCUGAUGCAGCGACGCCGCGUGGGGGAUGACGGCCUUCGGGUUGUAAACUCCUUUCGCUAGGGACGAAGCGCAAGUGACGGUACCUGGAGAAGAAGCACCGGCUAACUACGUG
This 466-nucleotide ribosomal RNA is filed under the name uncultured bacterium. Its description in RNAcentral is "partial 16S ribosomal RNA". It matches the Rfam family "Bacterial small subunit ribosomal RNA", at positions 28 to 507 of the family's 1533-position model. The record is from RNAcentral.